UACGGAGGGGGUUAGCGUUGUUCGGAAUUACUGGGCGUAAAGCGUACGUAGGCGGAUCAGAAAGUUGGGGGUGAAAUCCCGGGGCUCAACCCCGGAACUGCUCCAAAACUCCUGGUCUUGAGUUCGAGAGAGGUGAGUGGAAUUCCAAGUGUAGAGGUGAAAUUCGUAGAUAUUUGGAGGAACACCAGUGGCGAAGGCGGCUCACUGGCUCGAUACUGACGCUGAGGUACGAAAGUGUGGGAGCAAACAGGAUUCAGAUACCCCGUAGUCC
RNAcentral lists this ribosomal RNA (271 nucleotides) under uncultured bacterium. RNAcentral's name for it is "partial 16S ribosomal RNA". It matches the Rfam family "Bacterial small subunit ribosomal RNA", at positions 524 to 796 of the family's 1533-position model. The record is from RNAcentral.